AAGUCGUAACAAGGUUUCUGUAGGUGAACCUGCAGAAGGAUCAUUAGUGAAGAUUCAAGGCCAGCCAUACAGACGUACAAUAAGUGUGUCUCUGGCGGCUCGUAUCCACUAUACAUCCAUAAACCCGUGUGCACUGUUAAGGAGUAAGAAAGAAGGGGAGGGAGAUGAGUGCAUGUGCUUUUGCAUAUAACUCUCUCUCUUUCUCUUCCUUUCUCUCUCUGGUUAAUUACACAAACUCGUAUGGAUUUGUAUGAACGUGAGAUAUAUCGUUGGACCGUCACUGGCCAACAAAUAUAACACAA
RNAcentral lists this unclassified non-coding RNA (302 nucleotides) under plant metagenome. Its description in RNAcentral is "partial contains small subunit ribosomal RNA and internal transcribed spacer 1". The stretch from base 1 to 46 matches the Rfam family "Eukaryotic small subunit ribosomal RNA", at positions 1786 to 1831 of the family's 1831-position model. The record is from RNAcentral.